Molecule: non-coding RNA, 17519 nt
Organism: Xyrichtys novacula (pearly razorfish)
Lineage: Eukaryota; Metazoa; Chordata; Actinopteri; Labriformes; Labridae
Source: the annotation of a GenBank genome assembly
GGUUGAUGUCUCAGAAAACUGGAGUCUGAACGUAGAUGAUCUGCAUGAGUCUGUUUGGGGUCAUUAAGUUUGCUAACAGCAGGGGGGAGGGAGGACUCAGAGGUAGACGUGAUUUAAUUUUUGAUUCUUUUUCUGCCUGCUGCAGAUUUUCUUUAAUAGAUAAACAACUACAAAACUGUGUGCAUUUCUUGGUCUUUUGUUUUAUGCAUGUGCAUAUUCAUAAAGAUUAUAACAGGUCUUAACACAGAGUGAGCAGGAAGGAGUCUUACUUCUGUGAGUUUUAUAAAAACAUAUUAAUAGACUUGACAUACUCAAUAAACUGUGGAUAUAGAGCUUUUUCCGAUUUUAGGCCAGUGCAGCUUUGAGUGCCUCUAAAAACUCCCUUCACUGUCCCUUUGCCCCAUCUCUGCCUCACUGCAGAGACACAGAGGUAGAGAGACUGAGAGAGGCAAGGGUGCUCAGAUCAGGAGAGGGAGGGGGCAGAGUUUUUGGAAACGGGGAAGCGAGCUGCACUGCAGCAACUGGGCGUUGGCUCUGCCCGAGGAAGAGAGGCAGGAAAGGCAGAGGAGAGGGAUACAGACAGAGGUGCAGAUGGGGUAUGUUAAAUAUCUUGUAAGCAGACUCUGGCUUAAUUAUACAAAAAAAUGAAACUAUGAAGACAGAAACAUCUGUAUCUAUCUUUUUAAAAGCAAUUUAUCAUCCGAGGGGUCAACAUUUGUCAAUGGCAGGCUUAGAGUUGGGGUUUAUUUGAGGUCAAAAGUUCAGUGGGAUAGAGUGAUUGGCUCUAUUUAGUUAAAUUGGCAACUUUUGCAUUACUUUAACAUAUUUGUAAUGUGCAUUUUAUUAUCAGAGAGAUUUUAAUUUGAAAUUCUUCCUUAGGUUUAAGAGUUUGCAGAGACAACAAACACAUGAGGCUGGAGGGGGUGGUGGUGAGAUGGUGCAGAUGAUUCAAACUUCUGUUCAGCCUGAAGCUUUCCCUUUUUUUCUCUCUAAAUUUCAAAAAUGGUUUCAUUUGAUACUGAAUCACAGUAUCACAUAUCCACCUGUUGCAGCAGCUGGUCUGCUGUGUCUCUGCUGCACGUCUGCGUUCAGAAACUCUACGAUGACUUGACUGGAUAUCACUUCUUCCUAUAUGCUCGCAUAUUCUGAUGAUGCCCCAAAAUUAAUGCACCCUGGAUUCAUAUUUCAUCCAGUGUAUGCCUGAGUGCAUUAGCUGGGUCAAAUGAGGACAUGUCCUCAGCACACACACACAUUCGCACUCACACACUCUCACAAACACACACACGCAGAGAGCUGGAAAUUUCAGCCAGCUGUCGUAUUGUAAUUUAUAAAGCUGUAAAGUGAAGUGGCUCCCUUAUUGCCCAACCCACCUUUAAGCGGAGCAUCACCACGUUCAAUGCUUUCCCACUUUAUUUGCCUUCCCCUCAUGUCCACCAUGCUCCACUCCAUUCAUCUAUUUUUGUUUCUUCCUCUUUUAACUCACUUCUGUCCAUCUACCCCUCUUUCUGUCCAUUUCUUGUCUUUUCCUUCUCCUUUUUUUCUGUCUUCACUCUCUCCUGGCUGUGGAAAUGUGCUGUGUCUGCAGGGAGGUUAUUUGGUGCAGCAGACGGGGAGUAAUUGAUAAUGGUGCUGCUUUGGCUAUCAGGAGAGCUGUGUUUGCUUUUAGGGGGGAAUGAGACAGAGACAGAAAGGGGGGGAAACGCAGGUUAUUGAGGAUAAAGAGGCACAAAGACAGCCUGAAUCAAAGGAGGACAGACAUUAGAAGAAAAAGACGGAUGUUGAUAAUGUCAGAGAGAGUGAGGAUUGUACCAGGAGAUGACCAACAGUGUUUAGGAUUUGCAUUAUCUACUCUUGUUUGGCUCCUUUGUUUAAUCAUUUCCACUGUUACUUUGACAACAUUUCAGUUGCUGCAUGCCUGGAGUGCAUUUCUCAUCAAUCAUGUAUUUGUUUGUCACUCAACCAUCUGUUGUUUUAUGGGUUGAAUAAUUAACUGGGUUUUGUUAAUUAUGUUAAACAUGAUCAUUAUGUCCUCCUUAGUUGUGUUUUCAACUUAGUGGGAUAUGAAAGCUGAAACUAGACCUUUAAAUUAUGCGUAAUAUCAAAUAUUAAGUUGCAUUAGAUAUUUUAUUUUUUUAAUGAGGCCUCUAUUUAGACUUUAAUGUAAAAUAUUUACAAGGUUUUGAUUAUGUUCAAGAACAGCUUUGUUAAUGAAUUAGCUUUAGUAAGAAUAGGCAGAAUAGGCUAGUUAAAAUAAAGCCCUUCAUUGCCCCCUUACAACAGAAAUCAAGAUGCUACAGAAGAUGUUCGCCACCAGUGUCCUUUGGUUGCUCUUUCAGUGGUCAAAAUGUAAACAAAUUAACCUCACAUUGCUCUAUUAGUGGACUAAAUGUUAAUAAAGGGCCAUCUGAAUGUUCUUUCAGUGGUUAGAAUGUAAACAAAAUGACCUCACAUUGCUCUAUGAGAAGGUAAAAUGUAAACAAAGUGCCCACUGGUUGCUCUCUUAGUGGAUUAAACAUAAAGUACCCUCUGGUUGCUUUUUAAGAUGGCUAAAUGUAAGCAAAGGGCCCUCUGGUACUAUUUUGGAGUGUACGAAUUGAUGGAGACCUGGUGACCAUUUUUGCUGCAAUGUGAAAAUGUUUCAUAUAUCUAUAGGUUUUGAGAUUUGUAAGGAUUGCAGUUAAUUCCAUAUAAUACAAAGUAGUCUACAAUCCUUUAAAUGACACUGGUCAGAACAGUAAAAACAUCAGCUCCAUCUUAACACCCAAAGCCCUGAUUAGAAAGUUGUAGUUUGUGUUGAUUUUGACCCCUUGUGUGGCAUGCAGUCUCAGCUGAAUCUUUCUGUUCUUGUGGAAAUUGAACAUUUUAACAAGCAAAUAUAAUCUUGCUCUCUUGAAACAGUCAAAUACAUCACUAUAUGAUUACAUUUUUUGGAUCGCUGUCUUGUUUGUUGAGGUUUUUAGCCUCUCUGGUGAAAUGCUAGCAUAAACAGAGUGAAUAUCACUCAGACAAACACUGUAACUCUGUCAAAUACUCUUGAUGCCACUGUGGCUCAAUGAAAGUACUCCAGUUCACUUGGAAACCUGUCAGCUAUUUUGAAACGAAGUCUUUCCUUGGAUAAAGGCAGCGUCAAUUUUGUCAGACAUUUUGCUCCAAGGAAAAUAAGACAUUUGAAUUCAGCACAAGUCAAAACACAAAGCCUCUUUCUUCAGGAUGUGAACUGCUGUUGUUGCAGUUGUUUGUGAUUCAGUGUUUUCAGCACUGGUGCUUUUCUGCGUCAGACCUGCUGCUUCACUGAAUGUGCAACUGAAAUAUUGAUGAGGGCUCCCAGGCUAAACUCGGGCUCACUGUGGCCUCAGGUUAGACUGUAAUUAAAAUGAUAGACCCACCGAGGUAUAGAAACCACUACUAUAAGGUAUUUACAGCGGGCACAAACUCACUGUACUGCACUAUACUGUACUAUACUGUACUGUGGAUGCACAGUCACAUACUCUGGUACUGGCACAAACAGGCCAAAUGCACAUGUCCUGGAGCAACUUUACGUACAUUUAUGCAUCAUAUAUUCCCUAAAAUCUAAAUAUAUUCAGUUUAUCAGGACUGAAUAUUUAGCUCUCUAUUUUUAAACUUUUAUUUAUUUUGCAUGCAGAGUGGAUCCUCCAAACACCUCAAAAAACAUCUGACUUCAAACCUCUUUCCAGUUUCAAAGAGUUCAUUCUCAGAAAACAAGGUUUGAGCAGGACAAAAAUAACAAAGCUGCACAAAACAAGACAGCCUUAUGGGACUCUGCAGAGGAGAGACUUGAUGCACAUCAUUCACGGGGGAACAUUUGCCACACCCAAAAUGCAAAACACCCAGCCAUGUACAGCCCACAUCCCCUCACCCCCCUAUCUAACUCUCCCUCAACAAAGGAUAUGAGAUAUGCUGAUGAAGCUGGUAGGGCUCCCAUGGCUGAAGACGAAGCAUUUUGGCACUUCUGAGACAUCAGAGUGAGUCAGGAACUCUGGAGGAUGGGGAGGGGUGCGUGAGGAGGGGGUCUGUCAGUCUUUGUUGCUAAGACUGAGUUCCUUUCUCUAUUACUCUUAGAAGAUCUUUUUAAAUAAUAUAUGUGUCUGUUCAAGUUGUCCAAAUCGUCAAAUAUGUGAUAGGAUUUUUGAGGGUUUUUAAACAUUUUGCUGUCGGGGAGCUUCUGCAUUAACCGGUCAAAGUGAAAACCACAAGCCCUGAAAACACUUUGCAAAAACUCUGGGGUUUGACUUCCUCUCUGUCCUUUAUUUCUAGUCUGCAUUCAUUGUUGUUGUUGAAAUCAUUUUAAUCCACUUACAGCUCUGCUGAAAGCCAAAAAUGGUGGGUCAAUAAACCAUUGGUCAGAAGAGAAAACAUAAAUGGAUGAGAAAGUCUGAACAUUAUGUAAACUGCAGAAUAAAUGUGGAUUUGAUCAAUUUGGCCGUAAACAACACACCCCUGCAUAGCUGUCACAUGCAGCAUCUUUAAAAGUUUGGUUUAGAUUGUUUCCUUUUUUGCUCAGGAGGGUCUACUUGUCUCAUGAACAGGGCUGAGGCGUGUUUAAGUGUAUCUUGAAUAUGAACUUGCUUCACUCACAGAGAUUUUUCUGGUAUGCAGCAGUUUUUUUUCUGCAGCCUGUUUUAGUCUCAUGAAAUAUGCAGAGUUAAGCUCAGUCGUUGCCUUUUACACCAUCAGGGUUGUGUGACUUUGAGCUUUGUGACCCAAACCAAAGAGACGGCUUACUCAACCGUAGUACUACUCCACCUCUGUACAGGCUGAGAGCCUCGCAGUGCAGUGUGUAGCAUGAAAUGAGAGGUUAGUGAACUACAGAGGAGAAAUGCUCUUUUUCUUGCAUUUAUAUCCAAUAUGUACUAGGGAUUUGGUGCAGAUGUCUCAGCAUGCACUUCUUAUGAACUGAGCAUUAAAGUCAAAGCUAGAGCUAACAUAUAGAUCUGUUUAUUGAAUGUAGGAUUUCCAUUGAAGGUUAAGUCAGACAAGGUGAACAGGACUUCAUGGGGACUUCUGUCAGCAUUCAGCUCGCACAUCUUUAAAAAUAAAUGAAGUGAAUGUGAAAACACAGGGGAGGAUAGUACUUUUCAUGUCUGUGUCAUCAUUCAGGAACCCUAAGUCAAGAGUUAAUUAUAAUAUGAUUAAAAGUGUACAGGUCUGCAAAAUGCUCAGUGAACAUAUUAAUGAAUUUAUUCUUCCUUUAAAAAAAUGUCUAAUGUCAAAACUUUUAAAUAAUAGGCAUUAUCAAAACUGUUUAUGGUAAAGUUUGUAGGCGCAACUAAGAGACGCACUCACUAGCUUUGCUACUGUUGCAUGGAAUUGCAGGACAGGGUCCACUAUUAAAUUACUGUCCAUGUUGUUUGCAGUGUUACAGUGUUGUGCAAGUACACCCUGACCUUAAAACUAAAACCUCUUGGGGAAAUAUUAAGCCAAAGGUUCCAACCUGGACUGAAUGUACAGGGAAAUGUAUGACGAUGUUGGAGAGAUGUUUUUCACAUCCUCUAAAAAAGUUAACCGCAAAAAAGAAGAUGACAGAAAAAAUAAAAAUGGAAACAAUUAUUUCUGCCAAAAUGUCAGCAAACAGAGGCGUCUACCCCUGAUAUGAACCUACACUGAACCUUUCUAUGCAUGACACCUGUCACAGCAAAUUAAGAACAUAAUAUUCGUCAGAUUUGUUCAAAUUAGCACCAAAAAAACAAACAAACGUGUAAACACUUUCCCUUUAAAUUGAGAUAACAGCAAACAAAAUCUUUUUUUUUUUUUUUUACGACAAAUACUACUAAUAAUAACCAAUAAAUAAUACAUAUUCACCUAUACAGUGAAGAAGCUAGGCUCGUCAAGGGCUGCAGUGUUGAAAAUCCUAUAAAGACUAUGUCGUCCCGAAGGGAAAUCUAGCUCAUAACAAAGCACAAAACAGAAUAAAUUAACAUGGAAAGUUAAGUUUAAAGAAGUAAUUUACAUGUAUAGGUGACACCAUGAGAUCAAACUCGGGUAGAAAGCUGUGUGAUGGGGUAAAAAGGAAGUGAAGAGUUGUUCAUUUUGACUCAAAAUAACUCUAACUUCAAGGAUUUUCAUGUCAGGGUGAAGCUCAGACACAGAGCUGAUGUAAGACUCCAACAUCCAUGAGUCAUCUCCAUUAGGGGAGCUCCCUCCUUCCUUCCCUCCCUCCAUUCCUUCUUGCUGCUAUCCUCUGUCCUUUAUCUACCUUAAUGUGUCUCGGCACUGGUGGCAAGUACACAUAUUUAUCUCUCACAUAAUGCAGAGUCACAUUUACAGCGUUCGUUUCAUGAGCAGAGGAACUUGUUCAGUCGGGCUGAAGUUUUAAUUUCUUGCAAGACUCUCUCGAUUUAAUCAUUUUUAUUAUUGUCUCAGUGUGACUUUAUAACUCCUGAGCUAUUGGAGGUAAACGUAAAGUUUUUACAGAUGGGUUCAGACUGCGGAAUAUGAGCAGAAGGGGGUUUGUAAAAAAGAGACAUACAGAAGAAGGAAAAUUAGAAAUAAAACAUAGGGAUGAGAAAAGAAACAGAGUGCAGAGAGAAAGAGAGAAGACAAUAAAGCAAAGAAAAAAGAGACUGGAAGGAACUUUUUGACUUUGACCUUCAUCUCUUUCUUUAAGCACAGCUACCAUGGGACAAGCUGUCAGUCUGUGGCAAUAUAAAGCACUUAAAAUAGAGCACAAACACAGACCUUCAUACAGCUACACUUGUGAGUCUGCUCACUGUUGCAAAACAUCACUAACUUUACCAUUAACUCAAACCCUUAGGUCAUGUCCAAGACCUCAAACCGCACUUUGAAGAGAGAGAGAGAAAGUGGCCAACAUGUGCUCACUUUCAUGUCUGGAACUCAGAGUGAUCUUCACAAUAAUAGGAGGACCAAGAGUUCAUAUAAAUUCAGCACACGAGCCACACCCCAACCCCUUAAGAAUAUCAAGGUAAAGGAAGUGUGAUGUAACUGGCGGUAUGGUCGUGCUCACUGAUUUGCGGAUAACACACAAACUUACAAACACACUUGAUACCCCUUCUUUUUCUAUACAUGUCUCAUGUAUAAUGGUACAACAAGUAAACACUGUCAUACACACACACAAUUCUGUCUCGAGGCAGACACACUGACAGUAGGGAUUACACACUGUCUCUGAAUACUAAGUGGUACUUAGCAGGAUUGGCAACAGGCGCCCCGCACUGCUGCUGUGUUGCUGAACCUAUUACUGUCUGUAAAUACAUGUACCCUUAUUCAACCCCAGCCUUUCCCUGAAUCACUAUUUAAUCACAACUCUGAUCCCAAAGUAAGAAAUCGUCAAUGAAAUACUGUUUAAAAGCAGGGCAGAGAGAGUGAAGGGUUCGAAUGUUUCUUAUUUUACUGACAGGACAGUGUAUUAUGAGGCUCCAUCAGUAGCAUCAAAAAAGUACAAGCAUAUUUUGUGGCCACAAAAUAGGGAACUGUCGCCAAGAAAUAGUCUCAGCUCAUCUCUCCUCUCAUUCAUUUCACUCAGGUAAUAAGUCCACGCCAAUGCAACUUAAAUUACCUUUGGAUGGAGUCAAAAAUCAUCAUACAUGAUUUAUGGCACUGGUGACAAUGUUGAAUCCAGCUUUAAACUGCUGAGCUGUCUGUGAACAGCAGAAAGCUGGAGUUGCACCACUGCAGGAUGUAUUAUGAUCAAGUUAGAGACUUGAAUAGUUAACAGACGGUUGGUAUUGGUAUUUAAGUUUACACAUUUUAAACAGUCCUAACAAAAUGACAUGUGACGAGGUAUUUUGUGGCCACAAAUUGUCAUAUUUUCACAUAUGUCAACAGAGAGGCUCUGUUCUUUUAUUUAGCAUAAAUUGAGGAGAAAAGGGUAAUUUUAUGCUAGUUAUGCUUUCUUGUUACGUGUGUAUAUUUCAAGUGUCAUGAAUUGAUUUGUUGUCCAAAUCAAUCACUGCAAAAGUUCAUCUUUAUAGUGAGUUAUCCCAACAAAAGUUAUGUCAUGACACUUAACAAAAAGAGCAGAUCUAGACUUUGCUGUAUGUCAUAUAAUUAAACAAUCAACAAUUAUCUACCGUUGACCCAUCAUGAGCAACCAACAUUGGUAGAGGAAGAGUUCCUUUAACAGGUAGAAUCCUCGAACAGGACCAGACUCACUGGUGUAAGCUGUACGCCAGGUGACAGACAGACGGACAGACAUAGAUAGAUUAGAUAGAUUAGAUUAGAUAGAUUAGAUAGAUAGAUAGAUAGAGAGAUAGAUGAGGACUUGUUGAGUGCACCAGUUUGAAAAUUUAGACAGAGAGCAUCCCUUUCACUGCAACAAUGAUGUAUUCAUGCUGCAGCAACAGAUCCAGUUACAUAACAGGUUUCAAAUGAGCUGUUAGCCAACAACACACACACCAACUCCCCCCUGCCAAAACCUCAAGGCCUCUGCUCUCACUCCCCCAUUCUUUUCUCCUCUCUCUCUCUCUCUUUCUCUCUUUUUUUAUUUCUUUGCUCUCCCCUACCGCCUCUCUCCCCCUCUCAUUCAGCUGUAUCAUGAUUCUGCAGCUCAACCUCUGCAGCAUGACUCUACUUUCCUCUCUGCGUCUCAGUCUGCCUCUCCAGCAGGCCAUUGCAAAGUCCCGGCAAAAACACUGGGAUGGCUUAAAAUAACUGCAGGCAGACCUAUAGUACCCAUUCCCACACAGUGGCAUAGACUCCGGCAGUUAUAUUGUUUCAUGAUGCAGUCAUUAGAGCUUCAAAGAUGCCCCUGGACAAAAAUAAGACAGCGGUUUAAUGGAGUUUUUGGUGUAGAAAAGUUACAUAAAUGCCCUGUGGCGACAGACAAACUAAUUUCUCACAAAAAUUUCUGAUGAAAUUAAGUCUCUGUUUGUGAUUUUGGAUUUAUAUGAACCCAGCAGUGCCAGUGAAAUUAAUUUGAAAAAAUUUAUUCUCACUAACUUAAAAUAAGGAAACAACAAAAGGAUUUUUUAGAGCCAAAAUGGAGGGAAGAAAGGUUUUUCUACAUGAGGUUGAAAGACAUGACAAAAUUUAAAAUCUGCUUUAUUAGCAUUAGCCCUUAAGUGAAUCACUUCCCUCCCUUUUCAGAAACACAGAAGUUAUAAUCCCAGCAAUUUUCUCAUCCUGAGGCUGUUCUUAACCCUUUACUGGGUUUUAAAAGCAUGUGAUCCAAGGUGUAAAACAGCCGCAAUGUACUGUACUGCCUGUCAUUGAGUUAAAAUAAGUACUUUUUGGGGCUGAAAGAUUUUUACUUUUGGGGACUGCCAUUGGAUGACCCUAAAAAAAAACUAAUUUUUGAUAGUCUUCAUUGAUGUAUACAACAUAAUGAGUUGUUCUGAUGUAGCUGUUUCAGUACUUUAAGGGGAUCUAACCUUUUAGUCCCACAAGUCACGAUGUGAUGGGUCAAGUUGUUGGUAAAGGCUUAUAGGCAUAUGUAUCAAUUUAGCUGAUUACAUUCAUCACAUCAAUAUACCAGGUGAAGAGUGAGUACCUAUGCCCUGUUGAUGUACAGCUACAUAUUUAAGUUCAUGUUUCUCUUCAUCUCACAGAAAAGAGAGAGAUGAACUCUGAUCACUCAGUCCUCUAAAACUUCAAGCUGUCAGGCUGAUUGAAAUACUUUUGGAAGCUUCAGACAACACCAUUUGACAUUUCCUGUACAACACAGCCUUAGACUCUGUCAGUGUGGUUCAUUUGAGUAGUACAAGCCUAGCAGCUUUAGUUUAAUCUUCAUUCUUUUGCCAUUUACAUGCACUGGCACUGACAUUUCGGUAACUUUGUGAGCCCAGCAACUGCAUCCUUGUUCAUCCAUCAGUAGAUUAGCAUUUCAGUGAGGGAAUAUCAAAGGGGUUGGGUCAUUUUUCCUUCAUACUUUCAUUUGAAAUGAUGUCCGAAGUGUUGUUUUUUUUUUCAGAAUAUAACGCCUUCAGUAUAUUUAGUAUUGAGUUUCAUGUUUUUACUUUAUUUAAACACCUCAUUGAGGUUAAAAAUCUCUUUCGCAAGAGUGUCUUGGCCAAGACAGCAGCAUGUUCAACAGUUCUACACAAACACAUGCAGUCAUCAAACACAUAGACAAGACAUGAGACAAAAAAGUCUAUUCCAGACAGCCAAUUCCACUUGGAUUGCCCAUGUGAAGAUAAAGCUCAUGAGUCAAAACAUCUGCAGCCAGACGUCUUUGCCUCCAAGUUGCUCAAUAUCUUCUCAAAAGUGUCCAGUGAAACCGGAUCUUCAAGUUUCAAGUCUUUCUCUCAAAGUUAUCUGACUGUCAGCAAAUUUUAAUUAUGCCUUGAAAUUUUGGACCAGCCCUGGAAAAGUGUCUGUUGUCUUUGUUUGAAUAGAAUUCAUGCUUCACAUUUAUAAUACACACAAAGAAAAACACACAGAGAGAGGAACACAUCCAAGUACUGUACAACCAGUGAUGACUCACAUUAUUUAGAUUCAGGUGAGUCAUCAGAGUCCAACAGAGACGACCUGGGUAGCUUUGCCAGCUUCUUUCAUCCUCCCACUUCCUCCGGAUAGUGUUCUGUUGACACCCAAAGGUUUCAUUAAACUUCGCUGCAGAAACAAUAUUCAUUUACUACAGUGAGAGUACAAAUGUGAUGAAAGCGGUGCUUACUAGGACAGAUUUCAACAUCAGACUUUAUGUUUCAAUACAUCCUGAGCCUGCUGCAAAAUCUGACUCAUAAAGUUCUUCUGGUUGGUGUGCACAGACUCCAAAGUCACGUGUUUACUUUGUCAAUCUGCCGAUCUGUCACUUCAGUCUUCAGCUCAUCUAUUACCAUCACUCUUUAUAAAGCCUCUGAAAAACGCAAUGAGGUUAUACUUGAAUGAAUCAGGAGCUGUGAGUGUUCAGACUACAGAGGGCAUAGCUUUAAAAUACCUCAAAUAAUGAAGGAGGAUUGAAACAUAAAAAGCCAGUCAGUGAAUGUGCCUCUGUGUAGGUGGAGGCAGCAGAGGAGGGAGGAGGGUUGCAGUGAAGGAGGGUGAUGAGAGACUCUGCAGAUUAAAGACAUAACGUCACAGCGCAGAGAUGGUCCAGGAUAUAGAAGAUAGAUGAACAGAGCUCAGGAAAUUAACUCAACUCUGUCUCUCUAUCACAGACAUAAUUAAAAAGCUGUUUUUGUGGAGAGAAAUGUUUGCUUUCCUGAGUGUCUUGUAGAUUAAGAACAGGAUGGAUGAAAUAUUCAUUUUCCUUUAAUAAAUUAAAAGAGAACAAAAAAUGCCCUGACCUAACAGCUUCAGUACAAAAGCUUAUUUUCAGAGUUAUGUAGCCUCCUCGAAAGAGCAGGAUCACAUGCAUGACUCAGGUAAUUGGCACCCUGGGGUAACAAGACCUAGAAGACCUAAAGGUUCACCCACUAGGAGACUGUUUGUCUCCCUGAUGAAUGUUUCCCUCUAUAGACAUGCAUUAAGGUCACAGAGUUUGUGAUUGUGUUGUGAAGCAGCUCUCUCGAAUACAGCCUGAUUUUUGUAGUGGGGAGGGGGGAAACACAGACACUGGUGAAAACAGUUACAGGGCCCUGAUUCUAGUCUUCUGUUUUUCUUCUGCUGAGGUCUCGCUUACCCCGUCAGACGAGUAAAGCCGCUGACUGCAGCUUUAAAUACUUAAAGACUCAUCAGGAGGCCAGACCUUGUCAGCACGUGUGACGAGACAGAAAGCAAGAAAAAGACAUAAACACACUCAUGAUGUGAGCGGUUUGCGUGUGCGAGUUAACAUGUUCGACACAACAUAUGAUCCUUCCAUUUGGGUCCACAACAGCUUCCUGCAGCAACAGCACAACACAGAGAUCUCCCCUGCAGGCAUCGGGUCGCUUUAUUUGCAAAGAAAAACAUGUGUUAACGAAUUUGUCUCGAUGACAUUGGCUCGGGGACUUAUUGACAACCUACACAGGCACACGAUACAUGCUGACAACCGUGGCUCAGAGACAACAGGGAGUCAUAUAACAAGAAAGAGGAUGACACACACAGAUCGGAGGGAGAAGACAGCACAGAGCUUUUCAUAUGGCUCACAAUCUAAAUGUACAGAAUGGAGACGAAAAUAUUGUUGCUUUACUGUUUGAUAAAAAUAUCAUGUCUUCAUGAAUCUAAGAAAACUUGGUAACGCUUUCUUUUAUGGUACACUUAUCACCAGCUAAUUGACAGGUAAUUACCUACUAACAACAUGAAAUUAUCUGGUAAUUACAUGAUAACUACUAAAUCAAUACUGUCUAGUUUUCCUUUUUUUUUCUUUUUUCUAUGAAGCUCCAUUUUUAAAAGCUAUUUGGGGUUCUUCUUUUCUAUGAUUGACACUUGAUACAACUUAUGGGCGUGCGAAGAUUGGUAAUAAUUAUGAAUUAUUACAAUUUCUGGCAGAUAAUUUAACAGACAAAUUGAUGUCAUGCGUCUCUUAAUUGCAGUUUGAGCUAGAAUCAAGCUCAAUAGUUUAGUUAAGAAUUGUGGAACCCUCUAAUUUCAGGUUUGUUGUCACACUGCUCCGACUGUGGGUAUGGUCACCUAUUUUUGAUACAGGAAAACUGAAGGGGUCCCUGGAGUUGUUGGCCCACAGUCUUUGAGGAACAUCCAACUUGGUGUCAUGAUCUAGACUUUAAAGUGGUGGACAGACACUUGGUGGUAUAGUACUCUAAAACAUCCUGUAUCACAAAAGUACAAAACAAUUAGCGUGGAAAUACUAUCUCUGCAGACCAAUUCAACAUGAUCUAUCUAGCACGACAAAUGUUCAGUCCUUACACCCAAGUAUUUUUUAUAAAGAGAUGCUUGCUUCUUUAUGUAACAGAUAACAAAAGGACUAUUAUGAUCGACAGAUGGUGAACUAAUUUACAUUUCUCGACACGAGAUAAAACCUAACACCAAACUUGUAAUCAGCAAUUUUCAACAUCUAGUGCUGUCAUUUGUAUUAUUAUAUGCUUUCAAAUGAGGAUAAUCACACUGCUACCAGAUAAAUGACAAUUUAGGGUAAUAUGUGGGGCAGACCAAAAAGCUCUUGAGGUAAAUGAUGGGCUUGUGGCUGGAGCUCACAAAGCUGAAUAACCAGUCUGAUGAUCAGAUAGGACUUGACAUCAUUUAUAUGCUGCAUUGAGGGCAAAUAACAGUAUAAAUCAGGGGUUACGCGCCACAAAAUAAGGGUUUUCAUUUAUCACAUAGGAAAAUCAGAGCGUGUGUGUGUGUGAGUGUGUGCAGUGAAGUUUCAGUGAGUGUAAGUCUGUGUACUUUGAAUUGAGUGUUUAUUAGGGUAUUCAGUCAACAGAUUUUUACCCCUUCUCCCCUCGCUGAAGCUAAUUUAUUUUAUUGUGUAAUAUUAUUAAAAUGCAACAGAUUAAAAUUGAUGUUACCAUGUCUGUGAGGAAGACCAGGCAAAAAAAAUGUGUUUUUUUAGUGCUGGCUGUCCAAACUUAUUAAAAGAGCAACUUUUUUUAAUUAUUAUUUUUAUUUUUUUAUUUUUAGUAUUUGCACAUCUGUUUGACCAGGAUUGAGCAUGCAAUUUACAGACACUGGAGAGUAAAUAAUUAUAACUUUUUCCUUUACACCUAACUUUCGGAUAUAAAUAUGCUUCACUUUUAGGGAUUACGUGCUUGUGUGAAAUAUUGAGGUAGGCUAUCAGUAAUGAGUGUUACUCUCUGUGCAGACUGGCAACUGUGAGUGUGUGUGUGUGUGUGUGUGUGUGUGUGUGUGUGUGUGUGUGUGUGUGUGUGUGUGUGUGUGUGUGUGUGUGUGUGUGUGUGUGAGACAUAACUACUGAUAGAGUUUUUGCCAAUCCCUUCCCCUUGGUGAAGACGAUGUGGAGGGGUUUUAUUUCAGUGGCUACUUAGCUGUCCUCUGAGAAUCUCAUAUGAGAAGAGAUGCUGCUGCCUCUGUCUGAUAAAAACACACUGAGAGACAGAGAGAGAGAGAGAGAGACAGAGAGAGAGAGAGAGAGAGAGAAAGAAUAACGAAAGAAGGAAAGAGAGAGAGAGAGAGAGAGCUACUGAUGCAUUGCAGAUAAACUGCAGAUCCUAGUGUAACUCCUCCCUGUCUUUUUUCAUAUCCACCCCCCCAAUCCACUCUUGUUGCUCUUUUUACGCCCUGCCAUCGUUCAUGACAUCAUCAGCACCUCCAGACCUCCUACUAACAUCACCCCAUCCACUAUCUACUUCCUGUCACACCCAUGCUUACCUCUUCAUUUGACCUUAAAUCACCCCAUCUCUCUUUAGAUCCAGCAGAGCUGUGACCUCUGCAGACCGCUUCGGAGGUCGAACAGUCUAGAUGUUGUUCUAGAUUUAGUCAGUGAUAACCAUGGCAUUUUACUUUUACUACAAGAACUAGUACAAGAGCUAAGUGAGGCUUUCAGCUGUACAUGAAACACAACAAUGGUACUUAAACCUGCCUCUUUAGAAUUAGGUAUACAGUCUUAAACUGAUAGACGUGGAUCUCAUUCAAUCUCAAGAAGGAAUUUAAUCAAAAACCCACUUACAUAACCUUUAUUGGUCUUAUUGUAUUGAUAUCUUAUUGUAUUAAUCUGACUUAUGUAAGAGAUUCUUACAUUUACCAGAGUUUUCUUACAUGGGAUUUGGUCUUAGCUGAUAACAACAUCUAAGAGCACCUUGAGGCGCAGGGUAAAAUUAUUAGAUUUUUAGUUUUCCUUCAAUCAGCACAACUUAAUGGUGUAUAUGCUACACAAUUUAAAUGUUAUCAGUUUUUUAUUUCAAUCAUGCAACGUGUGGUCUAACUGCAAAUGAGGAUAAACUUGGCACAUUUUGGAAAAAAAGAACUAGUUUUAUCAGCCACCAUGGACCUACAAGCAUAAGAUAUUCACACCUCUCUCUCUCUCUCUCCACUUAAUCUCAAUGUCGAUCAAAAAACUUCUGCCAGCUCUGUCACUCUCUGUCAGGUACACACGUCUACUUCCAUCUGUGAUACGCGCAUGCAACUCUCAAUAAUGAAAGGAAUGAAGUCAGAUGGUUCACUCCGCUACUUUUAGGCACACUAUGCUGCAUGUGCUGUUCCAUUAUUUUGCAUGGUUUUAGCCCGCUAAAAACCUCAGAAUUAGAAAAACUUUUCAAAGAGGGGGUAUUAUGCAUUUUUCCCCAGACUCUUUACUUCCUGAUACCUCUCUAAUAGCUUCACAUGAUUUUCAGAUCAAAGAAAGCCUCCUGUUUCUCACAUUUCUCACUGUAUUUAAAAAUCUUUUUUUUCAGCCUCCAUAGGAAACGCUUUGUUUUAGCUGCUGCCUCUUUAAGUCCACCUCCUUGAGCCUACUCUCUUCUGAUUGGCCAUCUCGCCAAUGCUUGACCAAGGGCAGAGCUUUAUAUUUUUGCCCCAUCCCCUCUUGUGUGGUCAAUUUGUAGAGCAGCUGAGCAGCAUUAACCCGUUCCUCUGUUCUGCUCUGCACAGAUGAAACACUAAGGAGCCUAUUGUGAUGAUGCAAUUACUGUAGUGAGUCUCGCAUUUUCUAACAAGGUCCCAUUUUGAGCAGUUUACAUCUAUUUUCCAAGAUUGUUACAACAUGAACCCCCCAAUAACUUUUAAAAAUGGGGCUGUGCAGAAAAAAGAGGACUUGAGCACAAACCAGUCUUACAGUAACUACAUGUCAACAUCACAACCAGGGGGGAGAAAAAUUUAUAUUUUGUGUAAUAAAUCUCUAAAGUUUGUCCACAGCUACAUAGGGAUUGCUGGAGGAGACAGGUUUAUGACCUAUACUGCAGCAUGUCACCAGAGGGUGCUGUUCUCAUGGUGGCUUCACCCAGCGAGUAGGCAGACAGCGUCCAUUCUAUAUACAGUCUAAAGUUUCACCAAUUGGGAUAAACAAAGUUUUCUAAUUCUAGAUUGAUCAGAUUUAAGGUCUGUGAUCGGAUCAUCUGUCGUGUUGCUUUUGUGUUUUAGCAAUAAAUGCUAUUAGUGGAUUUUGACCAAUUAGAAUCAAGUAUGUUUUACAGCCAGCUGAUUCAAUUUUACUACUGCUUCUACUUACUACUACUUACUAAUACUUGUGUGAACUUUUAAGCUCUGUCUGUGCUGCCACAGCUGUGUCAAAAAGCCCUAAAAAUAACUUAAAAGCUGCAUCUUUGCUUUUGGGUUUCCACUUUCCACAUUUACAGUCUUGAUGAUAAACUGUGUACAGACACCAAAAACAUACCAGUGUGCAGCUGUAAAAGUCCUCAAGACAAAGACUCCUACUUCUGUGAAGGCUAUUGAAUAAUAACUUACUUAUUGUUUGUUUUAAUAGACCGAACAACACCAGACUUUGAAACUACGUUAUGUUUUCACAAGAUGUACUGAACACAGCCAUAUUAACCUUUUCCCAGAUCAAACCAUUCAUAUUUCAUCCUUAAAAGUUUUUAUUGUCUAACUUCAGUUUGCAAAAUAAGGUAAGAUUGUUCAUCUGCACAGCAUCAUAAAACCCAGCACUGGGACACUGAGGUAGAGAGGGCUGAAUUACAAGUAUGUAACAGAUAAAGAAAGCUUAGAUCCCCACAUUCCCAUAGUCGCAGGCAGUGUAACAACAGGGACUUCUGAGGUCAUGUUUUUCACUAUAUAUUCUGUAACCUUCAGGACAUCCCGCCUGUUUAUAGAUUUUCACUGCCAACAUGUGCAUCAGCAGAGUUGUAAGAAGCUCAGGGAAAAAAAAAAAAAAAAAAGAGUUGAAUCAAUAUACAACCAAGCUCACAUGGGAGCUGAACAUGCAAUAAACUGACUCCUCCUUUGUCAAGACUCUGAAGUGCACACACAUGCACAAAAGCAAGCAUACGGGAAAAAGGCAGGGAGGCUUCAAACUGUUUGGACAGGGAGAUGUGAGGCCAACAUUUCUGUAACUGAAUGUGACAAACUAGUGAAAAACUACUUGUGUGGGGCCACUUGAGCAUUGAGGCACAUUCUCAGCCUUGGAUUUCUACAUGUGUGUGCACUAAGAUCUUUUGUGUGUUGUCAGCUCAGCGUUAGUAAUGACAGAAGUAAUCGUAGAUGCUUAUGUUGUACAGGAUAGAAAAGCAGUAAUGUUCUCAUGGGAACAAAAGGGGGCAUGGAUGUGACAUGGAUGGGACAGAGGGGAGGUGAUAAGAUAACAGAGAGAGAGGGAAGGCAGGAUGACAGAGGGGAGCUGGGAGUAGGCUGGAAGAAGAGGACGUGAUUGCAAAGAAGGUGAGACUGUUUUUGAAAAUUGUACAAAGACAGGAAGAAAAUCACAGAGACGGAAUAAGAUGUGCAAAGCAAUCAAAAGGAAGACAAAAGAAAAGUACCAAAAAUUUAAAACAGUGAAAAGAGAAAAAGCAAUCAAAAGAACAAAACAGAGGAUGCAGAAAAAGACGAGGAGAUAAGAUCAGCGGUGAUAAAGAGCAAAGAAAAGCAGACACUGUUCUUACUGGUCUCCUGACUAGCUCAGUAUUUAUGGCUGUAUAUGUGUCGAGUCAUUCUGUCUGGCCACCUGCACUCAUUCAAAAGUGUCCUUUAUGUCUCCCUCAAGCUCAUCCUGUCCUCAUACCUGGACUAUAAAACAGGAUGAUUGCCAGUCCUUUCCAGAACAACUUUUAAGACCAUCGGCGACUAUCAGCACAAAGCAUAUCGACAAACACCACGAUGAU